ACAGCAGUCGCCACGGGAAUACAGAGGGUGCGAGCGUUAAUCGGAUUUACUGGGCGUAAAGCGUGCGUAGGCGGCUUCUUAAGUCGGAUGUGAAAUCCCUGAGCUUAACUUAGGAAUUGCAUUCGAUACUGGGAAGCUAGAGUAUGGGAGAGGAUGGUAGAAUUCCAGGUGUAGCGGUGAAAUGCGUAGAGAUCUGGAGGAAUACCGAUGGCGAAGGCAGCCAUCUGGCCUAAUACUGACGCUGAGGUACGAAAGCAUGGGGAGCAAACAGGAUUAGAUACCCGCGUAGUCCCUGUCUCUUAUAA
This 305-nucleotide ribosomal RNA is filed under the name uncultured bacterium. Its description in RNAcentral is "partial 16S ribosomal RNA". It matches the Rfam family "Bacterial small subunit ribosomal RNA", at positions 505 to 809 of the family's 1533-position model. The record is from RNAcentral.